UUCUAAUGUGGCAGAGUAGUGCAAUGGAUUUAAACCCCAUUCAUAAAAUUAUAUUUUCUUUAGA
Molecule: transfer RNA, 64 nt
Filed under: Ptilodactylidae sp. 2 ACP-2013
Lineage: Eukaryota; Metazoa; Arthropoda; Insecta; Coleoptera; Ptilodactylidae
Description: tRNA-Leu
Source: RNAcentral